This 253-nucleotide ribosomal RNA is filed under the name uncultured bacterium. RNAcentral's name for it is "partial 16S ribosomal RNA". It matches the Rfam family "Bacterial small subunit ribosomal RNA", at positions 524 to 776 of the family's 1533-position model. The record is from RNAcentral.
UACAGAGGUCUCAAGCGUUGUUCGGAUUCAUUGGGCGUAAAGGGUGUGUAGGUGGCGCCGUAAGUCGGGUGUGAAAUUUCGGAGCUUAACUCCGAAACUGCAUUCGAUACUGCGGUGCUUGAGGACUGGAGAGGAGACUGGAAUUCAUGGUGUAGCAGUGAAAUGCGUAGAUAUCGUGAGGAAGACCAGUGGCGAAGGCGGGUCUCUGGACAGUUCCUGACGCUGAGGCACGAAGGUCAGGGGAGCAAACGGG